Molecule: unclassified non-coding RNA, 284 nt
Filed under: uncultured fungus
Lineage: Eukaryota; Fungi
Description: partial contains 5.8S ribosomal RNA, internal transcribed spacer 2, and large subunit ribosomal RNA
Source: RNAcentral
AACGCAUCUUGCGCCCUUUGGCAUUCCGAAGGGCAUGCCUGUUUGAGUGUUGCGAACCUCUCAUCCCCCAGGGUUCCUAGGGACCUUGCGCGGAUUGGACCGUGGCCGCACCGGUCGGCAGCUCAGCUGUCGACCCGGCCGAAAUGCAUACGGAGCGCAUCUGCACUCUGUGACGACCAAGCGUUGUAGACCCCUCGCUUGGACCCGUUGCGCUAGUGAGAGCAGGCUCCCCCGCUUCCAUACUAUUCAACCUCAAAUCAGGUAGGACUACCCGCUGAACUUAA